GCGGAGGGAUCAUUACCGAGUUUACAACUCCCAAACCCCUGUGAACAUACCACUUGUUGCCUCGGCGGAUCAGCCCGCUCCCGGUAAAACGGGACGGCCCGCCAGAGGACCCCUAAACUCUGUUUCUAUAUGUAACUUCUGAGUAAAACCAUAAAUAAAUCAAAACUUUCAACAACGGAUCUCUUGGUUCUGGCAUCGAUGAAGAACGCAGCAAAAUGCGAUAAGUAAUGUGAAUUGCAGAAUUCAGUGAAUCAUCGAAUCUUUGAACGCACAUUGCGCCCGCCAGUAUUCUGGCGGGCAUGCCUGUUCGAGCGUCAUUUCAACCCUCAAGCACAGCUUGGUGUUGGGACUCGCGUUAAUUCGCGUUCCUCAAAUUGAUUGGCGGUCACGUCGAGCUUCCAUAGCGUAGUAGUAAAACCCUCGUUACUGGUAAUCGUCGCGGCCACGCCGUUAAACCCCCAACUUCUGAAUGUUGACCUCGGAUCAGGUAGGAAUACCCGCUGAACUUAAGCAUAU
Molecule: ribosomal RNA, 516 nt
Filed under: Fusarium oxysporum
Lineage: Eukaryota; Fungi; Ascomycota; Sordariomycetes; Hypocreales; Nectriaceae
Description: eukaryotic LSU rRNA
Rfam family: 5.8S ribosomal RNA (bases 164-317)
Source: RNAcentral